GGCGGUUUCCGAGUUUACGUUGUAAACUCGUUUAUUUAUUGCGCUUUCUCAACUCUCGUUUGCGAAAGCGCUGCUAAAAAGUUUUUCGGAAGCUGACGCUUUCUGCAAAACUUUUUAUAGGA
Regulatory RNA element from Treponema maltophilum ATCC 51939, 122 nucleotides. It matches the Rfam family "TD-1 RNA". From Rfam's summary of the family: non coding RNA found in Treponema denticola The record is from Rfam. Lineage: Bacteria; Pseudomonadati; Spirochaetota; Spirochaetia; Treponematales; Treponemataceae.